AUGAGGCACCUAAGGCAACCUUUCUGCAAAGCCUACCACGGAGGCCACCUAAUCAUAUGCCUUGCUUUGGGUGGCUGCACCAACCGGCCCUCAACCUGGACCGUAUCCGGCAUUGGAUUGGCUGUGGGGCUCACCUCUCUAAGCCUAUGGAGAAUCUUCUAGGUCUGUCUGGCUUUUUCCCCCUGCAUCCGAUGAUGAUCACCAAUGCUGAGAGACUACGGGCGAAGAGAGCACAAGAGAUCCUCUUAGCGUCUCAGAAAGCAGAGUCAGAGGCCAAAGAGACAGAAGCAU
RNAcentral lists this long non-coding RNA (291 nucleotides) under Mus musculus (house mouse). RNAcentral's name for it is "long non-coding RNA chr11:57880895-57881186". Lineage: Eukaryota; Metazoa; Chordata; Mammalia; Rodentia; Muridae. The record is from RNAcentral.